AAUCAACGCUGGCGGCGCGCUUAACACAUGCAAGUCGAACGGGAAAGUGAGCAAUCAUGAGUACAGUGGCGUACGGGUGAGUAACACGUGGAUAAUCUACCUUUUAGUGGGGAAUAACUUUGGGAAACCGAAGCUAAUACCGCAUAAGCUCGAGAGAGGAAAGCCGUAAGGCGCUGAAAGAGGAGUCCGCGGCCGAUUAGCUAGUUGGCAGGGUAAAAGCCUACCAAGGCAGAGAUCGGUAGCCGGCCUGAGAGGGCACACGGCCACACUGGCACUGAAACACGGGCCAGACUCCUACGGGAGGCAGCAGUGGGGAAUCUUGCACAAUGGGGGCAACCCUGAUGCAGCGACGCCGCGUGAGCGAUGAAGCCCUUCGGGUGUAAAGCUCUUUCGUCAGGGAAGAUAGUGACGGUACCUGGAGAAGCAGCUGCGGCUAACUACGUGCC
RNAcentral lists this ribosomal RNA (446 nucleotides) under uncultured bacterium. RNAcentral's name for it is "bacterial SSU rRNA". It matches the Rfam family "Bacterial small subunit ribosomal RNA", at positions 32 to 509 of the family's 1533-position model. The record is from RNAcentral.